This 893-nucleotide long non-coding RNA is filed under the name Triticum aestivum (bread wheat). RNAcentral describes it as "long non-coding RNA (TAES_LNC017840)". Lineage: Eukaryota; Viridiplantae; Streptophyta; Magnoliopsida; Poales; Poaceae. The record is from RNAcentral.
GCGUGUUUGCUAAAAUGUCUUAAUGCACUGGACUACUAGUUUUGAUGUGUUCAUUGUUCAUUUGUAGCUCCCUUGUGCUUGCAAAUUGCUAUAAUUUACAAUACUUAGCAUUUGCAGCACCGAUGCAUCUUCUUCGCUAUCAGUUCAAGUGAUCAAAAUGGUAUAAAAAACAAGUUGAAUAUUCCUCGUUUUGUGUCUCUUUGGAUCCAAAACAUUUUCAAUUCUAGUGUAGCUUGCUGUAAGAAAAUAUAACUUCACUGUGCAAGAAGUUCAUCUUCUAUUCUGCCCCUAGAAAGAAGUUUGUCUUGUAAAGGUUGAAGCUAAUGGGCUAGGAAGCUUUAUAAGAAAUUGAUUUGCCUCUUCAUUGAAAAAGUUUGGUUUGCCUGUUCCGUGAAAAUGUCUUGCUAAAGAAAUAUCUCUUGUGCACUUAUUUAUUCGCCUGAAUAUUUGGUUUGAUUCUCAGGUGCGAAAUGUCUUGCUAAUCAAAGUUUGGUUUGAUUCUCAGGUGCGAGAAAUAUCUCUUGUGCACUAGUGGUUGGCUGCUCCCAGCGGUAAAUGUAGUCGGAUUCAGCAGCUAGCUCUUCCUCGAGCAACCAUUUGGAGAACUUUAUUGUCUUCUUGUGGUGGUGAUUGAUUUUAGGAUCUGUAAAUUUGACGUUGGUAGCUAGCUUAUGUAUGGAACCUGCAAGUUCAAUAUUGGUAUUAGAUUCAGUUUUUGUUGUAUAAAUGUCCCAAUGUUCACAUUUAUUUGGGUAAAAUUUUAUUUUAGUUCUGCUACAGAAACCAUGCAGGUUCAGUGAUGAUGAUACCAUAAGUUCGGAAAAGAAAAUUUAUGUAUAUGAUGAGAUGAUUGCUACUUCUUCAAAGAAGGUAUAGUACAUGACAGCUUGAUG